This is a long non-coding RNA of Clarias gariepinus (North African catfish), 3301 nucleotides long. RefSeq lists it as uncharacterized. The transcript is spliced from 3 exons. Lineage: Eukaryota; Metazoa; Chordata; Actinopteri; Siluriformes; Clariidae. The record is from RefSeq and is a predicted model, not a curated record.
UUCAGUCCCUUUACUGUAGACAAUGCCUUGUAACGCCGGACGUAAGAGGCAGUGACUUAAGAAGACUUCUAAGGGACAGUUCGAACUUAGAAAAGUAAUUACUUUGCGUAAGAUAUAUCUUAAGAGUCUUCUUAGCGCGUGAAGAGGUUGUCUUAUCGGAAAACCAGGCCCUGCUUUUCCUUGAAAUGUGAUGUUGGGGAAAAAAAAAAAUUAACCUCUUCUCAUGAAAUAUUCAGAAUUGUUCUUUUUUUCUUAAAGUAAAUUUGAUAUUAAAUAUUUUUUUUAAUGAGUUUUGCCCUUUAUUUAAAAUUUUUUUUUAUCAAUUUAUUUUUGGGGAUUUUGUAUGUGUAUGUCUGCCUAAUGAUUCUGAUUAUAUACGUUUUGUUACUCAUUAUGCAAGUGCUUAUAAGAUCUUAUGCAUUAAUUAAAAAUAUAUAAAAUAUAUAAUAAGGUUUGCAUUUGGGUCUUCUGAUAUGUUGUGUAGAAUUUAAUUCAUUACUUUCUUAAAAAAAUUUACAUUUUACUACUACUGAAAUGACAAUGCAAAAAUGUAGAACUCAAAAUGUGCAUAUUAUUAUAUAUCAUGUCCUUGACAUAAAAUGUAUGUUUGCAUAAAUGCAUAAAAUCCUUUGAGGUUUAAGGGAUAGGGUUCUCUGACAAACUGUGUCAUCUACACUUCAUCUUACUCUUCACAUACAGUAUGGGUAGAUGGAGAGGAUGGUUAGUAUGUUGGAUCUUUGAAAUUUGAAAUUAAUAAAAAAAAAAAAUAGAAUAUAAUGUGUUAAAGGCAUAUAUGCAUACAAGUUGUGUAUACCACUUUGGGCUGCAGGUAACACAGCCCACUUUGAUGGCUACCACCGCUGGUAUAUUUUACACCUGUAAACCCUGCAAUGUGUAAAUUAUUUGAACUUUCUGCUUUAGAAUUUAAAAAAUAAAGUACCCAAGGAAGUUUCUCUUUUAAUCCACUAUGUGUUCAAUGAAGAUAUGCAAGUUGGUAUUAAUUAAACUCUAUUACAAAAUUGUUUUGUAAUAGAUAAAUGUUUUAUUUUAAAAUUUAGUUUUGAAAAAAAUUCAAAAUCCAACCCCCAGUUACUGUAUAUUACUGUAUAGUACACCAAGGUGUCCCUAGUUGAUACACAUGGCUAACCUUUUACAAAUGUGUACACAUUAAUGAAUUCAUUAAAAUUAAACUGGCAAAUGCAAUAUACAUAUUUUUUUAAAUUAAGAAGUGAAGCAAUGAGAUAAUAUUGGUGUUGAUUUCUGUUUAUGUACAAUGAUCAUUUAAGGCCAAAACUAUUUUUGUUUAUACAUUUUUGACUGAAUGUUUAACAUUUUAUCAUGACCCAAUCAAGCCUACAGUACAUUUUAAUAAAGAAAUAAUUUCCCACAAUUUCUCCCACACAUGCUCCUGCAAAUGUUCAAGUGGCCAGUGUGUUAGAGAAAUGUGCAGGGCAUCUCCAGGCCUCAGUGUCAAGUCAGAAAAAACACUUCACCAAUCACUAUUUAUCCAGCGCAACACCUUCUUUGCUUACCGUAGAUCAAAUGAAGAAGACAAAGCAGACGGUAUAGAAGCAUGCCACCUCAGAAACCUUGAGGAGAACAAGAAUCUCAACAAAGAAAUGCAGGAGAAUGUUCUGGAGUCUCCGAUCAGUACCACAUCAUCAGUCAGCUGGAGGCCUAGAGAGAGCUGAUUGGCCGAGCUCUCUCAGAGGGGAGGGAUGAGAGGUACUUCGUGCUCCCACAUUAAUUACGGCUCUACAGCCAAUCAGGGGCGUCUGUGAGCUCCCACACGCGGAAGAACUUUUCCUGCCAUGGCCUGUUCUUGUAGCUCUUACAUAGAGCAAGCAACCAAAUUUUCUUUUACAUUUUCAUCUCCUUUUUGACUGAUUCUUUUCAGUGGAAGAGUGUCACAAUGCUGUGGACUUUGUGUAACUCCAGUAUAAAUUAUACUUUGAGUUGAGCAGUGUGACACUUGAUAUCUUUGUCAGGUUUUAUGAAAUUUUGUAUCAUAUAGUGUCUUGAUUUGCAAGUUUGCUGGUGUCUGUUAUAUUGUGUGAAUUGUACAUUUAUUACACAAUAAUAAUUUUGUAUUGUAUUUUUCACAUUUAUGUAUUCAUUAUUACGCAUGGGCUUGAUUUACAAAUGAAUGGUAAUAGUAAACUGUAAUAUUUUUAAUAUUUGGUUUUAAUUUUGUGGUAGACAGAGGUCAGGAUGGACACUGACUGGUCUCAGGUGGUGCUAGUUGUGGCUCAUCACUGCUGUAAAUUGCGGAUUUUUUAUCUGUUUAAUAAAACUAUAAUAUUUCUCAUUUGUUUCACACAUCUCAGUUAUAUUUGGCUCUAAUCUCAGUAUGGUCUUAUAUGUGGCUCAUUUGCUUCUCGUUCAAAUGCAGUUCUGUUUCUCAUGAACAUCUCAGAUUUCCCCAAACUUCUCAGUUGUGUCUCAUUGUUUCUCCUAACUCCUAAGUUAGGAGAAAUAAAAAGGACCAAGUCAAGCUUGAAAUGAGAAAGCUCAAUUCAGUCUCAUGAGACUAGAAAAGGAUCAUUCUGAGCAACAAAUUUUGGCUAUGGGUUCAAACUAGUGUAAAUCUUGUUAGCCUAGCCAUUACUGGUUAAAUAAUGUUUUUAAUUGUAAAGAACAGUGUUUCUGAAAAAUUUAUUUUAUCAAUGUGAGACUGAAAUCUGAAAUUUUAUGGAAUCGUGUAGCAAAUAGUGUAAAGCCCAUCAGUGAAAGUGAAAAACUGGAUCGAAACUGAAAGAUUUAUUUUUAUACAUUUAAUAGUUUUUUUUGUUUGUUUGUAUGUAUUUUUAUUUACUUUCAAUAAUUUAUUAUUUGUUUAAGUAUUUUACUUUUGUUGAUUUCUUUUUGACAAAUCUAAUUCCAUAAAACAUGCAAUUAGUUCAGCACACAUGUCUAUUUGCAGGAUCACCUGUGCUUUGUUUAAGUGUAAAAUAUUUUUAUUAACCUCUUUAUUAAUUUUUUUGUUAAAUUAUAUUAUUUGCACAUCAAAAUACUUUUAAAUAAACCACAAAUAUCUUGUUGGGUUGCUAAGGGUGCUAUGGCUGGUAGUGGUAGCUAAAGCAUUGCCCACGCCCCUUCCUUCAGCCGCACCUGUUACAGUCAAUUAUUUUAAGAGGGCAUAUAAGCACCAUCUCACUCUCUCACAUUUUUUUUCGUUUUCUGGCCACAUAUGCCACCUCAUCCUUGAAGCACUUAUUGUGUUGCUGCCUCAUAAUUGGCUUAUUGGAUGAUUACAUAAGCAGGUGUCCCUAUUAAAAUAUAUGAUAAAUAAAAAUGUGAU